RNAcentral lists this unclassified non-coding RNA (1125 nucleotides) under Acanthaster planci (crown-of-thorns starfish). RNAcentral describes it as "putative methyltransferase DDB_G0268948, transcript variant X4". Lineage: Eukaryota; Metazoa; Echinodermata; Asteroidea; Valvatida; Acanthasteridae. The record is from RNAcentral.
CACGCAUAUACCCAUGCACACACUCUACAGGACCUGAGGUCACGUUGUCGAUUUCUUUCCGUGGCAGUUACUCAUUCAAGCACGACAACGUACAAUAUCGCUAUUUACUGUUCAUUUUAUUUGUGAAAGCCGGCAUCGCUUGCUCUUGCAGUAUAUGUAAUCACACGGAGAGCAGCAAUAUUUCGUGCUUAAACGGGAUUGAUUUUUCACGUCUGCUGUUUAACUCGACGAAGUUGAGCCUUUAUAAUCAGGAGUCAGUUUGAUAUUGCCAGUGAAAAUGAGCGCCAGGCUGUUCGAAGAAGCUGACCACGCCGAAUGCUACCAGAAAAGUCGUCCGGAUUGGCCGCAGGAAAUCAUCCAGACUUGCUUGUCCUUUCUUCGCGAAAAGAGGACUGGGCCGUUUGAACUGGCGGUUGAUGUCGCGUGCGGCUCAGGGCAAAGCACACGACCAUUGGCACCUCAUUUUGCCAAAGUAAUCGGAACGGACAUCAGCGAGGAACAACUCGGAGCUGCCAAACGUGUUAGUAAUCCGCCAAAUGUGGAAUACAGAAUUGGAAGAGGUGAGUGCAUCCCUGUAGCAGACAACUCGGCAGACCUUGUUACGUGUGCCACAGCUGUUCACUGGCUUGAUGUUGAUGAAUUCUUUCGGGAAGUCGACCGGGUCCUGAAACCUCUCGGAUGUGUCUUCAUUUACAGCUAUCACAUCAUUUAUCCCUAUUGGGAGGGGGAGGAUUCAAUGAACCAAGAACUGGAGAAGCUUGUGCGUGAGGUGUUCAUGAACAUAUUGGUCCCGCAUUUCAACGAUCGCAUACAUCUGGCUUUAAACAAUCUGACUGACAUUCGUAUUCCGUAUGCAGAGAAUAUAAGGAUGAGAAAAUCUUAAAUCAUCAAUAUGCCGGGAGUUGAUAUGAAUGUGUUCUACCACGGAACUGCAUGAAACGUCACGAUACAAAGUUUUAGCAACAAAAGACACCAGUAUAUCGUCCAGAUGGGACUGGAGAGAAUACCAGUUCAACUGUUUAGGCCUAAGUCGAUCAAGGAAUGAAGCGCUCGAGUUCCGACAGGAAUCUUCGGUUGAGUCCUACAUGGGAUAUCUCAAGUCCUUAUCCGGCUACCGGGCGUAUC